RNAcentral lists this small RNA (599 nucleotides) under Pongo abelii (Sumatran orangutan). RNAcentral describes it as "processed transcript". The record is from RNAcentral. Lineage: Eukaryota; Metazoa; Chordata; Mammalia; Primates; Hominidae.
GCAGAUAUUCAAAAUAAAAUGAUAUAUAACUACCCAGAAGGUACAAGUGCUAUCAGGACAAGUUCCUCAUAGCACAGUAAUGUCAUUUGGAACACAAGCUGUAUGUUGAUGUCUCAUCUUGAGGAACCAAAAGUAACAGAAGAUGAAGAACCACCCACAGAACAAGAUAAGAGGAAAAAGAUGCUGGCCCUGAAGGACCCUGUUCAUACAGUGUCACUGCAGCAGUUCAUCUACGAGAAGCUCAAGGCACAGCAGGAGAUGCUAGGAGAACAAGGUUUCCAGUCCCUCAUGGAAACAGUGGACACGGAGAUUGUCACCCAGCUACAGGAGUUUUUGCAAGGAUUCUAAGAGCACACGACAUGUGGCUGCCUCCCCUUUCAGAAACAAGCUGAGUAACCCAGCCUGCCGUUUGUAUGUGAGAGCCUGCUGAGAUGAAGAAAUCACUUCAUGAAAAUAAGCAAAGACCACACAUUUUUUACUACAAAAUGUAAAGGAUAAAUGUAAAUCCUGCAUAACUAAAAUCACAAACCUAUUCCUCAAAAGAAUUUAAUUUUAUAUUUAUGAGGGGGCCCUUCACUAAAAAGUACAUGUAAAAGUAC